GUCUCUUGUCAAUAUAUAGCCACAAAUCACACAAAAUUCAUCAGUUAACUCUCAUAAAAUGCUUUGUGGCAUAAAGAUUAAAGACUCAUAAAAUAAAGUUACAAACACAUAAAAAAGCUAACAAUCAACAAUAUCUAAGUGAGAAAGAGCUAAAAAUAUAUAAUCUAAAAUUCCCUUAUCAAAUUCCUCCACAUUUAGACUUUGCUAGUCUCUUAGCAAAAAAAAAAAAAAAAAAAAAAAAAAAAACUAAAAACAUAACCAAUGGUUUUGUUGAAAGCAAUGAUUGUCUAAAAAAUUUAACAAACAUAUAAUUCUUAGGAAAAAUCUAAAUUCCACAUUCUUUAGAAUUUCAACUCAAUGUACAAUCACCACUUAAACUUGAACCUUUUAUAAUUAUGCACAAUCAAACUUACCAACUCACAUGCACCCAAAUCAACUUAUACAUGCCAAAAUAUGUUUCAAAAUGUCCCUUUUUAUAGAUAAUAUUUAUCACGAAAAGCAUCCACUUCAUAGAAAUUAACCAAUUAUUCUCCACUAAUAUAAGCACACAUAAACAAGAAUCAAAAUGUCUUUAUAGACUUGUAAUAUAAGGCUAAGGUUAGAGGUAGAUGAAAAAGAUAUUUUUAAGCUCAAAUGAAACCAUAGCCUACAUUUAUUCUAAUCUUUAGAUCUUCCCACAAAUUUCCCAUAUAAUUCAAAAAUACAUAAUCUUUCUAUUUUCUUCUCUUCACAUUGAUCUUACUAUUUCCCCUACGCUUAUACUUUUGUAAUUUUUUUUUUCAUUUUUUUCAUUGCAAUUUUUUUCAAUUUAACUUUGUAGGGAGAAAUAUUAGAUCAUAAACAUUGAAAUGGCAACCCAACAAACCAACAUAUAUCUUUCCCUUCUUACAAGAUCCAUCCCCCCAAUAUUUAAACAUUCACAUAUAACCAUGGGGUAAUGGGCACAAAAAGGGAUAAAAUUUUCAUAGCUGCAAAUGUUUAGAUAUUGGAUUCAUAGAAGAAAAAAAAAUAGUCAUUAUGGAUCAAAAAUGGAAAACUAGAGUAUUAGAUAUCAUAGAUAAACUUGAAAGGCUUUAACAAUCCAAAGAAUUUUCCUUAAUCAUCUUCCUAAUCAUGUGUAUUUAUGAUUUUGCCUCAAAUAAUUAAUCAAUGCUUUCUAGAGUGAUCGAGACUACAUAUAUAAUACCUUGCAUAAAUCUCUCCAAGUUCUAGUGAAAAGGUAAAUCCAAUUGUGUUCAUCAUUUAAAAAAUCUAAGUACAAGCAUAAGUGACAACCAAAACAAGAGUUAAGCACGCAAUUCAUGUAGAACUCAUCAAUUUCCAGAAUUAUUUCCAUCACAAUCAAAUUUUUUAUCACUGACAUACAUAUUUCAACUUAACCAUGCUUAUCGCAACCUAAAAACAAACUAAAUUAAAAAAAAACAAAACUAAAAAAUAACUAAACAUAAUGCAAACAAUGAAAUUAUGCCAGGCUUUCGAAUAACACCCAUGGUGUAAUAUCCGCCUUUGCAUCUGAUGGGUAUUGUGGUAAUUUUGGCCUGUGAGAGCUAUUUGGUAAUUUAUGUUGAUGCAUAUGAAUUUCUUUUAUUUUUUAUUUUCAUGAUAAUAUUUAAUUUAUUUCAUGAUUAUGAUAUGUGUAUGUAUGGCGACGUCAAAACACGGUUCCUUCAACUAUCAGGGGCUUAAGUGCCGAAGAUAUUGGAAAUUAGGGGUGAAAGUAUAAUUAUGAAUCUUGUGAUAGGGAUUGUAAUUUUCAUAAGUGAAAACUAUUAGUUUAAGGGAAAAUUACAAAAAAGACUUGAUCCUAAUUAUGAGAGGGUUAGAAUUAGGGGCGAAUUGGUCUUUUGGUUUUAGGGUUAGCUUUUGCAGACUAAAAAAAAAUUAGGUUAAAUCUAUCGUAUUAUUGUUAGUCGUUGUAUUGAUCAAAGCAAUGAUUUUCUUUGAGGUUGAGGUCUAGAAGGUUGGAGAACUAAGAAUCAACUUGAAGGUAAAGGCAAGGGUAAGCUGGACCAACUAUGAGUUGGAGAACUCUGGGGGUGAGGUGUACAUUGUCAGUUGCUCAUCUGCCACGCCCGAGGUAAAGGCAAAGGCAAGUUAGACCAGCCCUGAGAUGGAGAGCUGCGAGGCUGAAUGUACAUAGUCAGCUGUUCGGUCGCUUUGGCCGAGGAGUGGAUCAGGACAGGGAUUGCUGAACUGUCUAUUUUGCCUUAGUAUGGCUAAUAUUGUAUCUAAAUCGCAAAUCUUUUGUAAAUGGUUUUAAACCUAUUAUUUUGGGAUCCCG
This is a long non-coding RNA of Humulus lupulus (European hop), 2281 nucleotides long. RefSeq lists it as uncharacterized. The record is from RefSeq and is a predicted model, not a curated record. The transcript has 3 exons. NCBI's taxonomy places the organism in Eukaryota, Viridiplantae, Streptophyta, Magnoliopsida, Rosales, Cannabaceae.